Molecule: long non-coding RNA, 893 nt
Organism: Centropristis striata (black sea bass)
Lineage: Eukaryota; Metazoa; Chordata; Actinopteri; Perciformes; Serranidae
Exons: 3
Source: RefSeq, a predicted model, not a curated record
UAUAAAUACAAGACAGCUGACGGUACAAAGAGCAACAUUUACUCGCACAUCGCAACGAAGAUUAUCUCACCAGUGGUCUCACCACCACGCAACAGGUUCAACCAGUAAACAACCAUGGUCUGACUGAUCAUAAAAGCUAGUCUCUACGUGGUCCGGAAGAUCCGGGGUUCCAUCACUGGAGAGGAGCAAGUGGAAAAGCCCAUCAUAACACCAUGUAGUGCAGCUGAAAUGAAAGCAGGACGGGAGCUGAAAGGAAACGCCCCAGCCAUGGCACUGCGCCCAGUACCUGAGGAAGGUGUUGGCGCAGCAACAAGCUUAGGGCCGUCCUCAGAGACAGCGUUGCAGGAAUGUGGCUCCUGACGUUAAAGAUCAUGCUGGACACUGGGACAAUCGCUGCCAUGGAAAAAUAUAAUUUGCCAUCUUUGUAUUUUUGCAUUACAGGACAAUAAUAAAUUAUCCUGGAUGAUUUCUUGUACAUAUAGAAUCAACUACAUGCAAUGGUCAACAUUAAUUUGUUCAAAAUAGAAAUUGUAUAAACAGGCCAUUUUGGACUACAAUACAAAUGUCAUUAUUACACUGCUUUCCAGUGUCCAUGCUGUACUCAGAGGCUAAUGUCCAGCUCCUAAUGACACAUUCAGGCCUUUUUCACAGCAGACAUGUUGACUUACCAUAGGAAAACAACUCCACACACAAUGGCCUACUAUGGGCCCUUGAAUAUAAUGGAGGCAUUUAUGUUAUUGCAUUAAUUCUGUAGUCAGCAUGUUCUCUGGGAAAAGGCCUGUAUUUACGUACUGCAGUGUGUGAAGGCUGACUCACCAACCUCUCUCCAGGGGCUGAGCAGGCCUGAUGUUUGUGCUGCUUUAUCAGUAAAUAAAUACUCUAAAAAAAGUUGU